UGGGGAAUAUUGGACAAUGGGCGCAAGCCUGAUCCAGCAAUGCCGCGUGUGUGAAGAAGGCCUUCGGGUUGUAAAGCACUUUUAUCAGGAGCGAAACGCUGUCGGCUAAUACCCGGCGGAACUGACGGUACCUGAGGAAUAAGCACCGGCUAACUUCGUGCCAGCAGCCGCGGUAAUACGAAGGGUGCAAGCGUUAAUCGGAAUUACUGGGCGUAAAGCGUGCGUAGGCGGUUCCUUAAGUCUGCUGUGAAAUCCCCGGGCUCAACCUGGGAAUGGCAGUGGAUACUGGGAGGCUAGAGUGUGUCAGAGGGUGGUGGAAUUCCCGGUGUAGCGGUGAAAUGCGUAGAGAUCGGGAGGAACAUCAGUGGCGAAGGCGGCCACCUGGGACAACACUGACGCUGAGGCACGAAAGCGUGGGGAGCAAACAGGAUUAGAUACCCUGGUAGUCCACGCCCUAAAACGAUGCGAACUGGAUGUUGGUCUCAACUCGGAGAUCAGUGUCGAAGCUAACGCGUUAAGUUCGCCGCCUGGGGAGUACGGUCGCAAGACUGAAACUUAAAUGAAUUGAC
Molecule: ribosomal RNA, 569 nt
Filed under: uncultured bacterium
Lineage: Bacteria
Description: partial 16S ribosomal RNA
Rfam family: Bacterial small subunit ribosomal RNA
Source: RNAcentral